AUUCAGCUGAUGAGUUCCAAAUAAGACGAAAUUCGUGUCGUGGAU
Molecule: non-coding RNA, 45 nt
Organism: Schistosoma rodhaini
Lineage: Eukaryota; Metazoa; Platyhelminthes; Trematoda; Strigeidida; Schistosomatidae
Source: Rfam